RNAcentral lists this transfer RNA (88 nucleotides) under Ilumatobacter coccineus YM16-304. RNAcentral's name for it is "tRNA-Ser (TGA) (tRNA-Ser-TGA-1-1)". It matches the Rfam family "tRNA". Rfam says of the family: Transfer RNA (tRNA) molecules are approximately 80 nucleotides in length. Their secondary structure includes four short double-helical elements and three loops (D, anti-codon, and T loops). Further hydrogen bonds mediate the characteristic L-shaped molecular structure. tRNAs have two regions of fundamental functional importance: the anti-codon, which is responsible for specific mRNA codon recognition, and the 3' end, to which the tRNAs corresponding amino acid is attached (by aminoacyl-tRNA synthetases). tRNAs cope with the degeneracy of the genetic code in two manners: having more than one tRNA (with a specific anti-codon) for a particular amino acid; and 'wobble' base-pairing, i.e. permitting non-standard base-pairing at the 3rd anti-codon position. Lineage: Bacteria; Bacillati; Actinomycetota; Acidimicrobiia; Acidimicrobiales; Ilumatobacteraceae. The record is from RNAcentral.
GGAACGGUGGCAGAGUGGACGAAUGCACCCGCCUUGAAAGCGGACGAGCCGAAAGGUUCCGCGGGUUCGAAUCCCGCCCGUUCCGCCA